RNAcentral lists this transfer RNA (87 nucleotides) under Phyllosticta yuccae. Its description in RNAcentral is "tRNA-Ser". It matches the Rfam family "tRNA". From Rfam's summary of the family: Transfer RNA (tRNA) molecules are approximately 80 nucleotides in length. Their secondary structure includes four short double-helical elements and three loops (D, anti-codon, and T loops). The record is from RNAcentral. Lineage: Eukaryota; Fungi; Ascomycota; Dothideomycetes; Botryosphaeriales; Phyllostictaceae.
AGAGAAUUGACUGAGUGGUUUAAGGUGAUAAGCUUGAAACUUAUUUUGGUGUAAAAAUCAACAUCCGUUCGAAUCGGAUAUUCUCUG